AUAUCAAUAAGCGGAGGAAAAGAAACUAACAAGGAUUCCCCUAGUAACGGCGAGUGAAGCGGGAAGAGCACAAAUUUAAAAUCUACCUGGUUUCCAGGUCGAGUUGUAAUUUGAAGAUACGUUUUUGAUGUUCCUGGUUGGACUAAAUCCUUUGGGAUAGGGUAUCAUAGAGGGUGAGAAUCCCGUGUAUACCAACCACAGGGAUGUUAUUUAAUAACGUUUCUAAGAGUCGAGUUGUUUGGGAAUGCAGCUCUAAAUGGGUGGUAAAUUUCACCUAAUGCUAAAUAUAAGCGAGAGACCGAUAGCGAACAAGUACAGUGAUGGAAAGAUGAAAAGAACUUUGAAAAGAGAGUUAAAUAGUACGUGAAAUUGUUGAAAGGGAAACGAUUGAAGUCAGUCAUGCCGGCGGGAAUCAACUUAGGGGAAACUCUGGGUGCACUUCUUCGUUUGGCAGGUUAGCGUCGAUUUUGGAUGUCAUAAAAUAAUUGGGGGAAGGUAGCUCCUUCGGGAGUGUUAUAGCCCUUGGUAGAUGUGAUAUUUGGGAUCGAGGAUUGCAACGGAUACCCUUCGGGGCUAGCCGCCUAAUCUCUAAUUGGUGUUGGGUUACGGACAGCAUGCUGACCGUGAUCUAAUUACUGGUUAAAAGGUUAGAGCGUGCAUAAAUUCGUUAAGGACGCUGACGUAAUGGCUUUAAACGACCCGUCUUGAAACACGGACCAAGGAGUCUAACAUGUAUGCGAGUGUUAGGGUAUUAAACCCAGACGCGAAAUGAAAGUGAGUGUAGGUGGGAUCCUUUAUUGGAGCACCAUCGACCGAUCUUGAGAUUUAUCGAUAGAAUUGAGUUAGAGCAUACCUGUUGGGACCCGAAAGAUGGUGAACUAUGCCUGAAUAGAGCGAAGCCAGAGGAAACUCUGGUGGAGGCUCGUAGCGGUUCUGACGUGCAAAUCGAUCGUCAAAUUUGGGUAUAGGGGCGAAAGACUAAUCGAACCAUCUAGUAGCUGGUUCCUGCCGAAGUUUCCCUCAGGAUAGCAGAAACUCGUAACAGUUUUAUGAGGUAAAGCGAAUGAUUAGAGGCCUUAGGGUUGAAACAGCCUUAACCUAUUCUCAAACUUUAAAUAUGUAAGAAGCUAACAGGUUACUUAAUUGAACCUGGGCAAUCGAAUGAGAGUUUCUAGUGGGCCAUUUUUGGUAAGCAGAACUGGCGAUGCGGGAUGAACCGAACGUAAGGUUAAGGUGCCCAAAUUCACGCUCAUUUAGACACCACAAAAGGUGUUAGUUCAUCUAGACAGCAGGACGGUGGCCAUGGAAGUCGGAAUCCGCUAAGGAGUGUGUAACAACUCACCUGCCGAAUGAACUAGCCCUGAAAAUGGAUGGCGCUCAAGCGUGAUACCUAUACCUUACCGUCAGGGUUAAAUUGAAGCUCUGACGAGUAGGCAGGCGUGAAGGUCGUGAAGAAGUCAUGGGUGUAAACCUUGAUGGAACGGUCUUUAGUGCAGAUCUUGGUGAUAGUAGCAAAUAUUCAAAUGAGAACUUUGAAGACUGAAGUGGAGAAAGGUUCCAUGUGAACAGUGAUUGGACAUGGGUUAGUCGAUCCUAAGAGAUAGGGGAAUUCCGUUUUAAAGGGGACUAUUUUUAGUCACGCCUAUCGAAAGGGAAGCAGGUUAAUAUUCCUGCACCUGAAUGCGGAUAAUUAAUACGGUAACGUUAACUGAACUUGGUUACGUCUGUGAGGGCUUCGGGAAGAGUUAUCUUUUCUUUUUAACUAUCUUUUAAACCUUGGAAUUUCGGAUUAACCGGAGAUAAGGUAUAAAGGUAGGAAGAGCUUGACACUUAAGUCAGGUCCGAUGCGUUCUCAAUGACCCUUGAAAAACCAAGGGAAAGAUUUAUUUUCGCGUCAGGUCGUACUCAUAACCGC
RNAcentral lists this ribosomal RNA (1915 nucleotides) under Gigaspora margarita. Its description in RNAcentral is "eukaryotic LSU rRNA". It matches the Rfam family "Eukaryotic large subunit ribosomal RNA", at positions 40 to 1857 of the family's 3401-position model. The record is from RNAcentral. Lineage: Eukaryota; Fungi; Glomeromycota; Glomeromycetes; Diversisporales; Gigasporaceae.